GACACCAGUACUUUUUCAACUAUGUGUUGCAAAUAUCUUCUCAUGCCCUUACCCUUCUUUGUGUUGGAGCUUUUGUUAGUGUCAAAUUUAUGCUUCCUUCAUGAUUUGUACAAUUUGUGUCUUGUUUAGGGAAUUUUUUCUUAUAACAAAGUCAUAAAAAUCCUAUAUUCUCUUUCAAAGUUUUAAAAUUUUGUGUUUAACAUUUCAUCUUUUAAUCCUUUGGGAUUUGUUUUAGUGUGGUGUAGGAUAAGCGUAUGAUUUAAUUUUUUCACUUCAGAUAAUCAUUGUACUAGCCCCAUUAAUUGAAUUAUCUGCAAUACCACCUCUAUCAUAGAUCAAGUCCAUAUAUUUCUAUUCUUCAAUCUGCUUCUGGACUCUUCUCUGUUCCUGACCUAUUAGCUUUUCCCUGUGUCUACGCUUUCUUAGCUUAAAGGAUAAAACUUCAAAAAUUAAAUAUUGAUAUCUGCUCUUUAGUUUUUGUUCUUUAAAAAUUUUAUUAUUUUUCCCUUUUGAUUUUUCAUACGAUUUUGGGAUCAGCUUCUUUUUUUUUUUUUUUUUGUCUUUUUUUGCUAUUUCUUGGGCCGCUCCCGCGGCAUAUGGAGGUUCCCAGGCUAGGGGUCUAAUAGGAGCUGUAGCCGCUGGCCUACGCCAGAGCCACAGCAACACAGGAUCCGAGCUGCGUCUGCAACCUACACCACAGCUCACGGCAACACCGGACCGUUAACCCACUGAGCAAGGGCAGGGACUGAACCCGCAACCUCAUGGUUCCUAGUCGGAUUCGUUAACCACUGCACCACGACGGGAACUUCCAGGAUCAGCUUCUUAAAUUGCAUGAACAAUGCUGUUGAGAUUUAGAUUGGAAUUACAUUAAAUUUAUAUGUUAAUUGGGGAACUUGUGAAACUUUACAGGUAUUAAGCCUUGGCAUCCAUAAAUAUAGUAUUGCUAUUCUUUUAUUUAGGCCUGUAAUUAUGUCUUUUAAAUUCCUUCAUGAAGAUCUUGCACAGUUUUUGUUAGUUUUAUUUUCAGAUUUUAAAGCAUUUAAAAAAUGUUAUUGGUAUAGAGAACGGUAUUUUUUUUUUCUAUUACAUUUUAAACUGCUUAUGAACAGCAAUAGAAAGGCUAUUUUUAUUUGCUGAUUUUAUAUUUAGUAACCCUUCUGAACUCCCUUAUUAAUUUGAAUGAUAGGUCUGAGAAUUCUCUCAGAUUUUCUAUGUGGACAAUCAUGUUGUCAGAAGAUGAGACUGUUUUGUAUGUUCCUUUCCUAUUACUAUCUCUCCUGUUUUUUUUUUUUUUUGUUGUUGUUGUUGUUGUUUUUGCUUAACUUCUCCCUUAUGAUGAAGGGAAGAAAUGUAUAUUUGAGAAUUUUGUUUGGAUGCCUCUGGACUGAAGAGAGAGGCAGGAAAACUAAAACCAUAAAUUAGAGAGCUGAAAAGGUCCUUUUUUUUUUUGUCUUUUUGUCUUUUUGUCGUUGUUGUUGUUGCUAUCUCUUGGGCCGCUCCCGCAGCAUAUGGAGGUUCCCAGGCUAGGGGUUGAAUCGGAGCUGUAGCCACCGGCCUACGCCAGAGCCACAGCAACGCGGGAUCCGAGCCGGGUCUGCAACCUACACCACAGCUCACGGCAACGCCGGAUCGUUAACCCACUGAGCAAGGGCAGGGACCGAACCCGCUACCUCAUGGUUCCUAGUUGGAUUCGUUAACCACUGCGCCACGACGGGAACUCCUGAAAAGGUCCUUUUGAUAAAUUUUUACUAUGAUUUUAUAUUUUGAAAUAUUUAUCUUUAAAAAAAUUAUUUCUACAUUGUUCCUUCUAUCCUUUUCUUGUAUUUUUGUGAGACUGACAUUGAACAUUCUUUCACCUCUAUUUUUUAAAAACUUAAUUCUUGGGGAGACCCUGCUGUGGCGCAGUGGAAACAAAUCCAACUAGGAACGAUCAGGUUGCGGGUUUGAUCCCUGGCCUCAGUGGGUUGGGGACCAGGUGCCUCAGGUGCAGCCCUAAAAAGCAAAACAAACAAAAAAACAAAAAACCACCAAAAAACCACAAACUUUUAAAAAACACUUAAUUCUUUAAGUAACAAUAUGCUUUUUUGUUUGUUUUUAUAGCCACACCUGUGGCAUAUGGAAAUUCUCUGGCUAGGGGUCAAAUCAGAGCUGCAGCUACUGGCCAUAGCAAUACUAGGUCCACGACCUACACUGAAGCUUGGGGCAAUGCUGGAUCCUUAACCCACUGAGCAAGGCCAGAGAUUGAACCCGCAUCCUCUCAGACACUAUGUCGGGUUCUUAACCCAUUGAGCCACAAUAGGAAUGCUAGUAACAAAACAUUUUUAAUUUAAUUUUUUCAAGUUUGGAUUUCUAAAGCUUUCUAUUUAAAAAAAAUUUCUCAUUCUUUUAAAAAUUGAAGGAUAGUUGAUUUAUAAUAUUAUGUUAGUUUCAGGUGCAUAGCCUAGUAAUUCAGUAUUUUUGCAGCUUAUACUCCAAAAUAGGUUACUACAAAAUAAUGAAUAUAGGGAAUUUCCCUGUGGCACAGUGGGUUAAGGAUCUGGCAUUGUCAAUUGUCACAGCUGUGGCACAGGUUCAAUCCCUGACCCAGGGAACUUUCACAUGCUGCAGGCACUGCAAAAAAAAAAAAAAAAAAAAAAAAAAA
RNAcentral lists this long non-coding RNA (2641 nucleotides) under Sus scrofa (pig). RNAcentral's name for it is "lncRNA (ENSSSCG00050062977.1)". The record is from RNAcentral. Lineage: Eukaryota; Metazoa; Chordata; Mammalia; Artiodactyla; Suidae.